GGUAAAAAACAAUAAGUUCAUCCACAUAUAAGAAAAGUAUAAGUUUUAACUUAUACUUUUCUUAUAUGUGGAUGAACUUAUUGUUUUUUACCUUUAUUU
Molecule: non-coding RNA, 99 nt
Organism: Pelobates cultripes (western spadefoot toad)
Lineage: Eukaryota; Metazoa; Chordata; Amphibia; Anura; Pelobatidae
Source: the annotation of a GenBank genome assembly